Molecule: long non-coding RNA, 1560 nt
Organism: Peromyscus leucopus (white-footed mouse)
Lineage: Eukaryota; Metazoa; Chordata; Mammalia; Rodentia; Cricetidae
Exons: 2
Source: RefSeq, a predicted model, not a curated record
UUUCAGUUCUAACACUCCCUGCCUUCAAUUUUACGAGAGGGAAAACUAAAAGCGGCUGAGGCGAUCUGGAUGGGACAGGCAGUAAAGCAAAGCUUAUGGAGCAUCUCGGCAAAUACCAGGCACAGGACCAAGUGUGGGGCUUGACCUGCUCCUUCUCAUUAAGACAGUGUACACAAAUACCAGCACAGAAUGGGGGGGGUGGUGGUGUCCUGGGCUAAGUUUUAGGCUGCUGGAUAACCCAACCUGAGAACCAGGAGGGCAAGAAGUCAGUCUCCUUUUUCUCAUGGGUUCUGCCAAGAUCAGCGAGCUUUAUAAGGCUAUAGACACAAUUGGGGGAAUUCUGUGACUAGGUGGACCUCUGAGCCUACUGGCUAGUUUUCCCAUUUCACAAAGAUGAGCAAUAGUAAAUUGACUGGGUAAGUAAGUCACGUGAGGACGGUCAUCAGAAGCAGCCAAUGACAAGAGAGAGAAGAGUAGAAGUGAGGGGGUGGGGGGCAGGGGACAGGCCAGAUACAGACCGGCCGCCCAUCAGACUUGGUCCCUGGGCUUUGCCACCUGUCACAUGACUUAAUCUCCUUCCUUCAGUGGCUUGCUCCUCUGUGACAAGGGCUAGGGGCCACAGACGCAGCUCCGUAGUACAUGCCUGGUGUGUGUGUGAAGCCCUGGGUUUGAGCCUCAGCUCCCAGAAACAAACAAGUAAAAGAUGAAGCCAGGCAUAGUGUCUCAUACUUCCAAUGCUGAAAGGAAUGCAUCCAGGAAGCCGAAGCCUGAGGACUGACAGAAGCUUAGGGCCCGCAAAGGAAUUCUAUCCAGGCUGGAGCACAGUGUGAGGCCCGGCCUCACAACACAGAACAAAUAUACAAAGGAAAAGGGUGAAAGUGGGUGACCUGAGGGAGACAAUCUACAUGAGGAACUCAGUACAGCGGUCAGGAGGACUCAGAAACGACACUAACUGGAACUGUGCUCACAUAAAACAGAUGACUCCGGAACAUUUUCACGGGAGAUGAUCACUCUAGAAACAAUUGCUGCUAUGAGGCACUUGAGAAGGCCACAGCCACGUCUCUCGGGAAUGGCCGGAUUACAAGAUGAUCUCUUCAAACACUUGACCUUCAGAAGGAGAAGCUGAAGAUCUCGGUCUUCCACCAAAACACCUGCUCUGGACCCCACUCAAGUCCACUUGUCCUAGACCAUUAGUACCUCCAGGGCCUCUCGUCACUUAGGGUGUUUGUUCCUACAUGGCUCUCAGAGCUCUUGAGGAACAACACAACAGGGUCACCUCACCUCAAGGGACCACUAUUCUUCCCAUGGAUACUCAAAACUGUCAAAGAGGGUCCUUCACCAAAAGCCUAGUUCUAAAUGGCAUCAUCUCACACGAUGCAGGUGGUAAGGCAGGUAGUUUGUGAUCCGGGUGUCUUUCCAGGACCUCUUAAGUUACCCUGUUUUCCUACUCCAAAAUGUAACUUCCAUAAGGGCAGUAAUUUUGUCUGUUUUAACCAUUACUAAUCAGCAAUGGCACGGCUCUCAGCCCACGGUUGUUGAAUAAAUACAGAUAAAGCCUGA